AAUUAAUUUUAUUGGUACAUAUAUACUUUUUUUUAGAGUGCUGUUGUAAAAAAUUUACCAGCACACUUUUGCAUAGGCUCUGCUCUCAAGUCCUUGCCCAAAAGCCACAUCUUUGUGAGGUCUAUUUGGCUCUUGCUGAAUGCACUCUGUCUUUCCCACAGCAAAUUGGAGCCUAAAGUGUUUUUCUACAUUAAGUGGGAAUUAGUUGUGUAUAUAUCUACUCCUUUGCCUGUACUAUAAACUACUAGACAAGAAAAAAUCUGAUGUAUUUUUAUUUUAACAUGAUCCAUGGAUCUAUCUUCAAGACUGUCAAGAAAUGUUUGUCAAAAAUUAAAUAUUUUACUAGGCUUAAUUUAUAUAACUGUACAAGGUGUUUCUCUACCUCUCUCUCCCCUCCCCCCAUUUUUUUCCAAUUGAAUCUAGGAAAUCUUUCCAUUACUCAUUAGUAGAUUACUUGACAACAAGAGUGGAUUUGAAGGCAAGGAAUUAAAUUAAUAUUUUUCACCAGAUUUUGAUAAUGUAUAAUAUCAGUACCACAUCAGCAAAUCUUUUAGACUUUAUUUACUUAACUUGAGAAAAACCAAACAACUUUCUUCUCUUUUGCAAAGAUAAUCUAAGUACAGAAGAUGAAUUCGUGCCAGGAUAAAGUUAUUGUGUGCUGAGCUAGCUUUUUUUUGUAUGUUCCUGGCAUAUUUUUUGAUCUGAGAUUCUUCACACAGACUCUUCCUAGUUAAAAAUGUUAUCAUUAGCACUUUCAUGCACUUACUGUAUUUGAGUAAAUCCAUAUCACAUCUCUAUGAGAUAGGGAAUAUAUUGUUAUUGUUUUAAAAUAAGAAAACAAUACCAGAGCACUUACAGUACUCCUUUAAGAUCUUACAACUAGGAAGUGACAGAGCUGGAAUUUGAGCCUAAGCAAUCUAGCUUGAGAAUUAAAUUUGCCAAAGCAGUUUUAAUUUCCAAGAAACAGUCUUUUGAGAGAGAAACUUUUUUCUGUUCUAAAAGAUAAAAUGCCUGAAGAUAUUAGAUCAUAUAGUCCAACCAUAAACCAUACAGGUGCAAAGAAUUUGGGUUCUUUGGAGAAACAGAAGCAGUACAAUGUACACGUAAUUACAAGAUGGGAUCGAGGGGACUGGCUCAUGCAGAGGCAGCGAAGAUCCACAGUGACUGUCUGCAGGCUGCAGAGCCAGGAGAAGUGCAAGCUAUUCAUCCUGAAGCUGGAAGCUGGUGAACAUACAGAGCCAAGGAUGUAGCUGAGGCUGAAAGCCUGAAAGCCCCAGGAAGGCCCACUGGGGCAAGUCUGUGUUCAAGACCUGAAGAGUCUGAAGGCAGUUGUCUACCAGCAACAGCAGCAUCAAAAACCACACCAGACCAAGAAGGAUCAAUGAACACAGUUGUGUUUGUGGCAAACCUUUAUCCCAACAUCCUGGAAGGCAGAGGCCAUGAGGAUCACCAAUUGGAGCAUAGCCUGGCAUGAGGCUGUGGAUCAGUGUGAAGGGCCUGGGUUCAAUUCCCAGUACCAGGAUGAAUGAAAUGAGAAAGAGAAAGACAAAGAACUAAUGACAGGAAAGAGAGAUAGGAAAGGAAGGAAGGAAGGGAAAGAAAGAAAGGGGAGGUAGAAGCAAGUAAGCAAGAGAGAAAGAAAGAAAGAGAGAGAGAGAAAGAAAGAAAGAAAGAAAGAAAGAAAGAAAGAAAGAAAGAAAGAAAGAAAGAAAGAAAAUGGGAAAGAGAGGUCAGUCAAGCUCAUCAGUGGUAGCUUUCCCCUGCUUGCAGAUUGGCGGUGGUGGUGGUAGCAGUUGUUCUUGCUCCAUUUGGGUCCUCCACCAUGUGUGGCCAUGUUCAGGGCAGGUCUUCCUCAUGUACUUUGCUGACCAGUUUUCUUCUGUGACACAGUUUUCUUCUGUGAAAACGCCUCAUAAAAACAUCCAAAAGUGUGCCUCGUGUUUCUGGCCAGGCUCUAAGGAUGUACAGACAUAAAGAUGUACGUAUCCUGAUCAUUUCAGCCUCUCAUGCCAGGCGAUUGGUCGGUGAGGACUUGAACGAGCUUACUGGUAGUAGUAACUGAACUUGGUUAUGAGAGAACAUUGGAUUGCUGCAGUGCAAUGGAUGUCUGGUGCUAGGUAUUUCUCUGCGACCGUUUCUCAGGAAGCUCUCUGCAUGUCCCUCUUCAUCUCAGAAGCCAAUUCCAUGGAACCCGAUCUAAAACAGAUGGAGAUGACAUUCAUGUCGUUUAUAAACACUUAGCCAGAGUAAUCUGGAGGAUGUUUUCAGUAAUAAAUUCAGAGUCACACUUUGAACACGAAAACAAGUAUCUUUUCUUUAUUCCCUCGCCUAUU
Heterocephalus glaber (naked mole-rat) is the source of this 2333-nucleotide non-coding RNA. Lineage: Eukaryota; Metazoa; Chordata; Mammalia; Rodentia; Bathyergidae. The record is from RefSeq and is a predicted model, not a curated record.